GCCUCACACAGCUGGCCGAGGAACUCUAGAGUGGAGUCUAGAACCUCCCAACGCACAUCACACACACGCUUCUUUAGCACGGGAAGGAGGUCUGUUACAACACACACACACACGCUUCUUUAGCACGGGAAGGAGGUCUGUUACAACACACACACACACGCUUCUUUAGCACGGGAAGGAGGUCUGUUACAACACACACACACACACACACACACGCUUCUUUAGCACGGGAAGGAGGUCUGUUACAACACACACAGGAAAAAACAUCAGUAUAAAUAUCUGUUAAGCAACAUCUGACCAGAUAUAUUGAUGUUGACUCCCUGCACCUUCAGUGACCAGAUAUAUUGAUGUUGACUCCCUGUACCUUCAGUGACCAGAUAUAUUGAUGUUGACUCCCUGUACCUUCAGUGACCAGAUAUAUUGAUGUUGACUCCCUGUAUCUUCAGUGACCAGAUAUAUUGAUGUUGACUCCCUGUACCUUCAGUGACCAGAUAUAUUGAUGUUGACUCCCUGCACCUUCAGUGACCAGAUAUAUUGAUGUUGACUCCCUGCACCUUCAGUGACCAGAUAUAUUGAUGUUGACUCCCUGUACCUUCAGUGACCAGAUAUAUUGAUGUUGACUCCCUGUACCUUCAGUGACCAGAUAUAUUGAUGUUGACUCC
This 662-nucleotide long non-coding RNA is filed under the name Salmo salar (Atlantic salmon). Its description in RNAcentral is "lncRNA (ENSSSAG00000121617.1)". The record is from RNAcentral. Lineage: Eukaryota; Metazoa; Chordata; Actinopteri; Salmoniformes; Salmonidae.